CCUGCCUGAAUGAUGGCAGAGAGGUCACACCCGUUCCCAUACCGAACACGGAAGUUAAGCUCUCUAGCGCCGAUGGUAGUUGGGACCUUGUCCCUGUGAGAGUAGGACGUUGCCAGGC
RNAcentral lists this ribosomal RNA (118 nucleotides) under Bacillus sp. Root131. Lineage: Bacteria; Bacillati; Bacillota; Bacilli; Caryophanales; Bacillaceae. The record is from RNAcentral.